CCUACGGGAGGCAGCAGUGAGGAAUAUUGGUCAAUGGGCGCGAGCCUGAACCAGCCAAGUAGCGUGAAGGAUGACUGCCCUACGGGUUGUAAACUUCUUUUAUAAAGGAAUAAAGUGAGGCUCGUGUGCCUUUUUGUAUGUACUUUAUGAAUAAGGAUCGGCUAACUCCGUGCCAGCAGCCGCUGUAAUACGGAGGAUCCGAGCGUGAUCCGGUUUUAUUGGGUUUAAAGGGAGCGCAGAUGGGUUUUUAAGUCAGUUGUGAAAGUUUGCGGCUCAACCGUAAAAUUGCAAUUGAUACUGGCAGCCUUGAGUACAGAUGAGGUAGGUGGAAUUCGUGGUGUAGCGGUGAAAUGCGUAGAUAUAACGAAGAACUCCGAUUGCGAAGGCAGCCUACUAAACUGCCACUGACAUUGAUGCUCGAAAGUGUGGGUAUCAAACAGGAUUAGAUACCCCUGUAGUC
Molecule: ribosomal RNA, 460 nt
Filed under: uncultured bacterium
Lineage: Bacteria
Description: partial 16S ribosomal RNA
Rfam family: Bacterial small subunit ribosomal RNA
Source: RNAcentral